This 408-nucleotide ribosomal RNA is filed under the name uncultured bacterium. Its description in RNAcentral is "partial 16S ribosomal RNA". It matches the Rfam family "Bacterial small subunit ribosomal RNA", at positions 28 to 526 of the family's 1533-position model. The record is from RNAcentral.
GACGAACGCUGGCGGCGUGCUUAACACAUGCAAGUCGAACGAAGUGGCGAACGGGUGCGUAACGCGUAAUCAACCUGCCCUUCAGAGGGGGACAACAGUUGGAAACGACUGCUAAUACCGCAUACUGAAGGUGGGGAUUGCGUCUGAUUAGCUAGUUGGAGGGGUAACGGCCCACCAAGGCGAUGAUCAGUAGCCGGUCUGAGAGGAUGAUCGGCCACACGGGGACUGAGACACGGCCCAGACUCCGACGGGAGACAGCAGUGGGGAAUCUUCGGCAAUGGACGAAAGUCUGACCGAGCAACGCCGCGUGAGUGAAGAAGGUUUUCGGAUCGUAAAACUCUGUUGUUAGAGAAGCGGUAUCUAACCAGAAAGCCACGGCUAACUACGUGCCAGCAGCCGCGGUAAUUC